UGGAGUAGAAAAUGCAGUCGU
This 21-nucleotide microRNA is filed under the name Brassica napus (rape). RNAcentral's name for it is "bna-miR6035". Lineage: Eukaryota; Viridiplantae; Streptophyta; Magnoliopsida; Brassicales; Brassicaceae. The record is from miRBase by way of RNAcentral.